RNAcentral lists this ribosomal RNA (406 nucleotides) under uncultured bacterium. RNAcentral's name for it is "partial 16S ribosomal RNA". It matches the Rfam family "Bacterial small subunit ribosomal RNA", at positions 30 to 526 of the family's 1533-position model. The record is from RNAcentral.
AUUGAACGCUGGCGGCAGGCCUAACACAUGCAAGUCGAGCGAGCGGCGGACGGGUGAGUAAUGUCUGGGAAACUGUCCGCUGGAGGGGGAUAAAUCCUGGAAACGGUAGCUCAUACCGCAUACCAUCAGAUGUGCCCAGAUGGGAUUAGCUAGUAGGUGGGGUAACGGCUCACCUAGGCGACGAUCCCUAGCUGGUCUGAGAGGAUGACCAGCCACACUGGAACUGAGACACGGUCCAGACUCCUACGGGAGGCAGCAGUGGGGAAUAUUGCACAAUGGGCGCAAGCCUGAUGCAGCCAUGCCGCGUGUAUGAAGAAGGCCUUCGGGUUGUAAAGUACUUUCAGCGGGGAGGCGUUACCCGCAGAAGAAGCACCGGCUAACUCCGUGCCAGCCGCCGCGGUAAUUC